UACGAAGGGGGCUAGCGUUGUUCGGAAUCACUGGGCGUAAAGGGCGCGUAGGCGGCUUUAUAAGUCGGGGGUGAAAGCCUGUGGCUCAACCACAGAACUGCCUUCGAUACUGUAGAGCUUGAGACCGGAAGAGGUAAGUGGAACUGCGAGUGUAGAGGUGAAAUUCGUAGAUAUUCGCAAGAACACCAGUGGCGAAGGCGGCUUACUGGUCCGGUUCUGACGCUGAGGCGCGAAAGCGUGGGGAGCAAACAGG
Molecule: ribosomal RNA, 253 nt
Filed under: uncultured bacterium
Lineage: Bacteria
Description: partial 16S ribosomal RNA
Rfam family: Bacterial small subunit ribosomal RNA
Source: RNAcentral